UUAAUUUUUUUUUUCUUCUCUCUUUCACACCACCAAAACACACAGAGCUUCUCCCUCUCCGGCGAAAAUCUCACCGGUUCUCACCCUCUGCAAAUCGUCUUCUCCAUCUCAGCUUGAAGCUUCUCCCUUUCUACAAAAUUUCUUCUCCCUCUCUGGACAAAACCCUAACACAAUCGUCCCCUCUCUUCGACGAAAUUAAAUCAGUCUACUACGUUGAACUCGUUCAUUCGAUUCAAGGGCUGUGAUGCUUCACUGCUCUUGGAGGAUCGAAACAGUUCGUAUGAGAAGCAGGCUAUUCCAAAUCAGACAUUGAAAGGUUUUGAUAAAAUUGACUUGAUUAAGGAGGAAGUAGAACAAGCAUGUCCUGGCAUUGUGUUUUAUGCUGACAUUAUUGCUCUUGCAUCAAGAGAUAUUGUUCUUUUGGAACCACAAAAGUGGGCAGUUAAGAAGGUGCCUAUAUUUGGCAUUUUAUAUUCAAAUAGAAGAUAAGCAAAAGCCAUGAAGUAACUUUUUUAUGUUCAUUGAUGUUUAAAGGACAAUGAACUAUGCAAACCUUCCUUUAUUUUCCUUUACAUGGAAUAUUAUCAAAGGCACUAAGGUGAAUAACCCGGCUAGGAAUUGGAUAAGCAGAGAGGGGUUUUACAGGAAAUAAAGGUAUCUGCACAGUCAGACCUACG
This is a long non-coding RNA of Trifolium pratense (red clover), 677 nucleotides long. RefSeq lists it as uncharacterized. The transcript has 4 exons. The record is from RefSeq and is a predicted model, not a curated record. Lineage: Eukaryota; Viridiplantae; Streptophyta; Magnoliopsida; Fabales; Fabaceae.